RNAcentral lists this ribosomal RNA (544 nucleotides) under Listeria welshimeri. RNAcentral's name for it is "bacterial SSU rRNA". It matches the Rfam family "Bacterial small subunit ribosomal RNA", at positions 996 to 1533 of the family's 1533-position model. Lineage: Bacteria; Bacillati; Bacillota; Bacilli; Caryophanales; Listeriaceae. The record is from RNAcentral.
CACUCUGGAGACAGAGCUUUCCCUUCGGGGACAAAGUGACAGGUGGUGCAUGGUUGUCGUCAGCUCGUGUCGUGAGAUGUUGGGUUAAGUCCCGCAACGAGCGCAACCCUUAAUUUUAGUUGCCAGCAUUUAGUUGGGCACUCUAAAGUGACUGCCGGUGCAAGCCGGAGGAAGGUGGGGAUGACGUCAAAUCAUCAUGCCCCUUAUGACCUGGGCUACACACGUGCUACAAUGGAUGGUACAAAGGGUCGCGAAGCCGCGAGGUGGAGCCAAUCCCAUAAAACCAUUCUCAGUUCGGAUUGUAGGCUGCAACUCGCCUACAUGAAGCCGGAAUCGCUAGUAAUCGUGGAUCAGCAUGCCACGGUGAAUACGUUCCCGGGCCUUGUACACACCGCCCGUCACACCACGAGAGUUUGUAACACCCGAAGUCGGUAGGGUAACCUUUAUGGAGCCAGCCGCCGAAGGUGGGACAGAUAAUUGGGGUGAAGUCGUAACAAGGUAGCCGUAUCGGAAGGUGCGGCUGGAUCACCUCCUUUCUAAGGAA